This 350-nucleotide ribosomal RNA is filed under the name Haptophyta environmental samples. RNAcentral's name for it is "SSU rRNA". It matches the Rfam family "Bacterial small subunit ribosomal RNA", at positions 524 to 877 of the family's 1533-position model. Lineage: Eukaryota; Haptophyta. The record is from RNAcentral.
UACGGGGGAUGCAAGCGUUAUCCGGAAUCAUUGGGCGUAAAGCGCCUGUAGGUUGUUUAAUAAGUCUGUUGUUAAAGACUAGGGCUUAACCCUAGAAAAGCAAUGGAAACUACUAGACUAGAGUAUGGCAGGGGUAGAGGGAAUUUCUAGUGUAGCGGUGAAAUGCGUAGAUAUUAGAAAGAACACCGGUGGCGAAAGCGCUCUACUGGACCAUUACUGACACUCAGAGGCGAAAGCUAGGGUAGCAAAAGGGAUUAGAUACCCCUGUAGUCCUAGCCGUAAACGAUGGAUACUACAUGUUGUGUUUAUUUCACAGUAUGGUAGCUAACGCGUUAAGUAUCCCGCCUGGG